This is a long non-coding RNA of Lemur catta (Ring-tailed lemur), 725 nucleotides long. RefSeq lists it as uncharacterized. NCBI's taxonomy places the organism in Eukaryota, Metazoa, Chordata, Mammalia, Primates, Lemuridae. The transcript is spliced from 4 exons. The record is from RefSeq and is a predicted model, not a curated record.
AACAGAGUAAGACUCUGUCUCAAAAUAAAUAAAUAAAUAAAUAAAUAAAUUCUUAUAGAUAGUACUAGACUUUCCUCCAAAGAACCUAUACCAGUUUACUCUCCCACCGUUAAACCAUGAGUAUGCUCACUCUCUCACAUCCUUGCCCCUAGGUAUCUCAUAUAUGUGUGUGUGUGUGUGUGUGUGUGUGUGUGUGUGUGUGUGUGUGUAUACAUACACACAUUAUAUAUAUAUAUAUAUUUUUUUGGGGGGGGCAAUCUAGUGUGUGCAAAAGAGCUUUUCACUUUUGUUUUCAUUUGUAUUUCCCUGAGUCUCUGUGGCUUAGCCAAAGGCCCACUAGCUGAAGAAAACAUUGUGAAGAACCAAAGAGAGCUCAAGAAUGAAUAGCAGAGAUUUAUGGCGGCUCUAAGGAAGAACUUGCUGUCAGUACCUAGACCCUGAUCUUGUUCAAGCAGCCACCUGCCUGGAGGUGCCUUUUCCAGUAAUUGGUUGAGGAGUGAUCUUGUUCUAGCCAAGGAGACAUUAGGAGGACAUCUUCAGGGGACUUAGGGGAUAGCUCUUUCUCCCUGAAAAGAAGAAAUGAGAGCAGCCACCUUGUGACCAUGAGGAAAAGGCCAAGAGAAGUACAGAGGCAUCAAUCUGGACCCUGGCAUUACUGAGGAUCUAAACAACCCCCGCCCCCACCUUCCAACUUCCUGUUAUGUGAGAGUCUUACUCUGUUGCCC